GCCUGGCCCUAAACCUCAAUAGUUAAAAUAACAAAACUAUUCGCCAGAAUACUACAAGCAACAGCUUGAAACUCAAAGGACUUGGCGGUGCUUCAUACCCCCUAGAGGAGCCUGUUCUAUAAUCGAUAAACCCCGAUCCACCCCACCCUCUCUUGCUUAGUCUAUAUACCGCCAUCUUCAGCAAACCCUGAUGAAGGCUACGAAGUGAGCGCAAAUGCCCUUCCCCGCAAAAACGUUAGGUCAAGGUGUAACCUAUGAGACGGUAAAAAUGGGCUACAUUUUCUACUUCAGAAAACCCCACGAUAGCUCUUAUGAAAUCUAGGAGCCCAAGGAGGAUUUAGCAGUAAAUUAAGAAUAGAGUGCUUAAUUGAACUAGGCCAUAAAGCACGC
Molecule: ribosomal RNA, 390 nt
Filed under: Papio anubis (olive baboon)
Lineage: Eukaryota; Metazoa; Chordata; Mammalia; Primates; Cercopithecidae
Description: partial 12S ribosomal RNA
Rfam family: Bacterial small subunit ribosomal RNA
Source: RNAcentral